GAUGAACGCUGGCGGCGUGCCUAAUACAUGCAAGUCGAGCGAACGGACGAGAAGCUUGCUUCUCUGAUGUUAGCGGCGGACGGGUGAGUAACACGUGGAUAACCUACCUAUAAGACUGGGAUAACUUCGGGAAACCGGAGCUAAUACCGGAUAAUAUUUUGAACCGCAUGGUUCAAAAGUGAAAGACGGUCUUGCUGUCACUUAUAGAUGGAUCCGCGCUGCAUUAGCUAGUUGGUAAGGUAACGGCUUACCAAGGCAACGAUGCAUAGCCGACCUGAGAGGGUGAUCGGCCACACUGGAACUGAGACACGGUCCAGACUCCUACGGGAGGCAGCAGUAGGGAAUCUUCCGCAAUGGGCGAAAGCCUGACGGAGCAACGCCGCGUGAGUGAUGAAGGUCUUCGGAUCGUAAAACUCUGUUAUUAGGGAAGAACAUAUGUGUAAGUAACUGUGCACAUCUUGACGGUACCUAAUCAGAAAGCCACGGCUAACUACGUGCCAGCAGCCGCGGUAAUACGUAGGUGGCAAGCGUUAUCCGGAAUUAUUGGGCGUAAAGCGCGCGUAGGCGGUUUUUUAAGUCUGAUGUGAAAGCCCACGGCUCAACCGUGGAGGGUCAUUGGAAACUGGAAAACUUGAGUGCAGAAGAGGAAAGUGGAAUUCCAUGUGUAGCGGUGAAAUGCGCAGAGAUAUGGAGGAACACCAGUGGCGAAGGCGACUUUCUGGUCUGUAACUGACGCUGAUGUGCGAAAGCGUGGGGAUCAACCAGGAUUAGAUACCCUGGUAGUCCACGCCGUAAACGAUGAGUGCUAAGUGUUAGGGGGUUUCCGCCCCUUAGUGCUGCAGCUAACGCAUUAAGCACUCCGCCUGGGGAGUACGACCGCAAGGUUGAAACUCAAAGGAAUUGACGGGGACCCGCACAAGCGGUGGAGCAUGUGGUUUAAUUCGAAGCAACGCGAAGAACCUUACCAAAUCUUGACAUCCUUUGACAACUCUAGAGAUAGAGCCUUCCCCUUCGGGGGACAAAGUGACAGGUGGUGCAUGGUUGUCGUCAGCUCGUGUCGUGAGAUGUUGGGUUAAGUCCCGCAACGAGCGCAACCCUUAAGCUUAGUUGCCAUCAUUAAGUUGGGCACUCUAAGUUGACUGCCGGUGACAAACCGGAGGAAGGUGGGGAUGACGUCAAAUCAUCAUGCCCCUUAUGAUUUGGGCUACACACGUGCUACAAUGGACAAUACAAAGGGCAGCGAAACCGCGAGGUCAAGCAAAUCCCAUAAAGUUGUUCUCAGUUCGGAUUGUAGUCUGCAACUCGACUACAUGAAGCUGGAAUCGCUAGUAAUCGUAGAUCAGCAUGCUACGGUGAAUACGUUCCCGGGUCU
Molecule: ribosomal RNA, 1372 nt
Filed under: uncultured bacterium
Lineage: Bacteria
Description: bacterial SSU rRNA
Rfam family: Bacterial small subunit ribosomal RNA
Source: RNAcentral